Molecule: ribosomal RNA, 456 nt
Filed under: uncultured bacterium
Lineage: Bacteria
Description: SSU rRNA
Rfam family: Bacterial small subunit ribosomal RNA
Source: RNAcentral
AGGAUAAACGCUGGCGGCGUGCCUAACACAUGCAAGUCGAACGUCCUACGCAAGUAGGGAGUGGCGGACGGGUGAGUAACACGUGGGCAAUCUACCUUUCGGUGAGGAAUACCGGCGAGAAAUCGCCGACAAUACCGCAUACGCUUCGCAAGAAGCAAAGUCGCAAGACGCCGGAGGAGGAGCCUGCGCCCGAUUAGCUGGUUGGUGGAGUAAUGGUCUACCAAGGCGACGAUCGGUAGCUGGUCUGAGAGGAUGAUCAGCCACAUUGGGACUGAGACACGGCCCAAAACUCCUACGGGAGGCAGCAGUGGGGAAUAUUGGACAAUGGGCGCAAGCCUGAUCCAGCCAUGCCGCGUGAGUGAUGAAGGCCCUAGGGUUGUAAAGCUCUUUUGUGCGGGAAGAUAAAUGACGGUACCGCAAGAAUAAAGCCCCGGCUAACUUCGUGCCAGCAGCCGC